UAGGAGGUAGCGCUUCCUAUCACUUGCAUUUCGAACGGCAGCACGGGGGCAACCCUGGUGGCGAGUGGCGAACGGGUGAUUAACAUAUCGGAACGUGCCCUGGAGUGGGGGAUAACUAGUCGAAAGAUUAGCUAAUACCGCAUACGAUCUACGGAUGAAAGUGGGGGAUCGCAAGACCUCAUGCUCGUGGAGCGGCCGAUAUCUGAUUAGCUAGUUGGUGGGGUAAAGGCCUACCAAGGCAUCGAUCAGUAGCUGGUCUGAGAGGACGACCAGCCACACUGGGACUGAGACACGGCCCAGACUCCUACGGGAGGCAGCAGUGGGGAAUUUUGGACAAUGGGCGCAAGCCUGAUCCAGCAAUGCCGCGUGAGUGAAGAAGGCCUUCGGGUUGUAAAGCUCUUUUGUCAGGGAAGAAACGGUGGAGGUUAAUACCUUCUGCUAAUGACGGUACCUGAAGAAUAAGCACCGGCUAACUACGUGCCAGCAGCCGCGGUAAUACGUAGGGUGCAAGCGUUAAUCGGAAUUACUGGGCGUAAAGCGUGCGCAGGCGGUUGUGCAAGACAGAUGUGAAAUCCCCGGGCUCAACCUGGGAAUUGCAUUUGUGACUGUACGGCUAGAGUGUGUCAGAGGGGGGUAGAAUUCCACGUGUAGCAGUGAAAUGCGUAGAGAUGUGGAGGAAUACCGAUGGCGAAGGCAGCCCCCUGGGAUAACACUGACGCUUCAUGCACGAAAAGCGUGGGGAGCAAAACAGGAUUAGAUACCCUGCUAGUCCACGCCCUAAACGAUGUCUACUAGUUGUCGGUGUCUUUAUUGACUUGGUAACGCAGCUAACGCGUGAGUAGACCGCCUGGGGAGUACGGUCCGCAAGAUUAAAACUCAAAGGAAUUGACCGGGGACCCGCACAAGCGGUGGAUGAUGUGGAUUAAUUCGAUGCAACGCGAAAAACCUUACCUACUCUUGACAUGGUCGGAAGCUUGAGAGAUUGAGGCGUGCUCGAAAGAGAGCCGAUACACAGGUGCUGCAUGGCCUGUCGUCAGCUCUUGUCGUGAGAAGUUGGGCUUACGUCCCGCAACCACUGCUAUCCUUGUCAUUAGGUUGCUACAUUUUAGUUUGGCACUCUAAAUGAAACCGCCGGGUGAACAAACUGGAAGGAAGGUGGGGAAUGAGUCCAGUCCCUCAUGGCCCUAUGGUUAGGCCUCACGGUCAUCCAUGCUCAUACGUAGGAGGCCCGCUCCAUAACCCCGGCUCAU
RNAcentral lists this ribosomal RNA (1250 nucleotides) under uncultured bacterium. RNAcentral describes it as "partial 16S ribosomal RNA". It matches the Rfam family "Bacterial small subunit ribosomal RNA", at positions 30 to 1287 of the family's 1533-position model. The record is from RNAcentral.